RNAcentral lists this long non-coding RNA (1372 nucleotides) under Capra hircus (goat). RNAcentral describes it as "lncRNA (ENSCHIG00010015484.1)". Lineage: Eukaryota; Metazoa; Chordata; Mammalia; Artiodactyla; Bovidae. The record is from RNAcentral.
GGGGGCGGCGCUCGGGUCCUGGCGCGGCGGAGCGGGGUGCGCUGGAGGCCGGGCUGGGCGCUUUAUGGUCCGGCCGGCGGGGCGGGGAAGGGCCGAGGCCGGGGCGGCCCCCUUGGCCAGGAUCCCCUUUGGCCGGGAAGUGUGGGGGUGGCCGGAGCGGCGGAGGGAAAGGCGUGAGCCUGGGGACUGGGGACGCGAGGGCCCCUCCGCCCGACUCGGGUCUGGGGAGGUGGGCGUGGUCGCCGACCCCGGACGGACCGGGAAGUUAGGAGGAUGGGGAGGGCGGGGAUGGGGCUGGGAGGAAAGUGAGGACACGCAAGACAGAGAAGAGAAGAGAGGGGAAAGGACGCAGAGAACGACACUGACCCGCUAGCUUUGGGCACCGUCCGUCCCCCACCUCUCCUUUUCUGAACGGAACAUUGUUUGGACAAGCUUUUAACGCCCGUCUUGGGCUCUGCGGGAACUUCUGCCUCCCAAGGUGGUCCGGUGAACAAUUCGUUUCUUUUAUUUCUUCAAGCUUGUCUUGAAUACUUCAGAUGAUGAAUAUUUUCCCCAUCAGGCUUUGGGAUGUGAACAGUGAAUGUUUCAAAGUUUUGAGUUUUUAAUGGAAAUAAAACACAUCUCAAGGACUCCAUCCAGACAGAACCGUUUAUAGGAUGGUAGAGUUUUAUGGAGAAUUUAUUUUCCAAACACUUGUCUGCCCACUUCUGUUUCACCCUCCCGAAAGAUCCCAAGUGACAGUUUAAAGCUAUGGGAGUAGGACCUAAAAGAGAGGGAAGCAACAUGAGGAAUUAGUCUUCCUUCUAGCAAAGCCCCCUAAAAAUAAUGUGGAUUAACUAGAGGAAAAAAUAUUUCAGAACAAUGGUAAACUUUCCCCUCAUAAACAAUCUUGACUAAUGGAGAAAAUCCAGCAAUGUAUUUAUAUCCCUUUAAGUCUCAAAGAAUUCCAUUUCAAAGUUUAAGAAUAAGCCACAAACUGCCACAAGCUGGAAGAUUAACUCAUCUUCUUAUUCGCAAACUGUGCUAGAAUAACCCGUUAUGAUUCCACUUACAGCCAAUGACCUGGAAGUUUGUGAGCCAUAUUCAGAGUUCCUUUGUAUUAUAUAUAUUCGAGGUCUGCCAUAUUCUGGUUCGGGCUUCAUUUAAUGCCAUGUUACACUAAAGUUUCUGUAUGGAGUGUGUCACCAUAUGUCUACAUAUGAGAGAGCACUGAAGAGACAAAGGCACAUGUUUCCAGCAGUGUGACUAUACACUGUUACUGCUAAGUCACUUCAGUCAUGUCCGACUCUGUGCGGCCACAUAGACAGCUGCCCACCAGGCUUCCUGUCCCUGAGAUUCUCCAGGCAAGAAUACUGGAGUGGGUUGCCAUUUC